Molecule: ribosomal RNA, 585 nt
Filed under: uncultured bacterium
Lineage: Bacteria
Description: partial 16S ribosomal RNA
Rfam family: Bacterial small subunit ribosomal RNA
Source: RNAcentral
UGGGGAAUUUUGGACAAUGGGCGAAAGCCUGAUCCAGCAAUGCCGCGUGUGUGAAGAAGGCCUUCGGGUUGUAAAGCACUUUUGUCCGGAAAGAAAUCCUUGGCUCUAAUACAGUCGGGGGAUGACGGUACCGGAAGAAUAAGCACCGGCUAACUACGUGCCAGCAGCCGCGGUAAUACGUAGGGUGCAAGCGUUAAUCGGAAUUACUGGGCGUAAAGCGUGCGCAGGCGGUUUGCUAAGACCGAUGUGAAAUCCCCGGGCUCAACCUGGGAACUGCAUUGGUGACUGGCAGGCUAGAGUAUGGCAGAGGGGGGUAGAAUUCCACGUGUAGCAGUGAAAUGCGUAGAGAUGUGGAGGAAUACCGAUGGCGAAGGCAGCCCCCUGGGCCAAUACUGACGCUCAUGCACGAAAGCGUGGGGAGCAAAACAGGAUUAGAUACCCUGGUAGUCCACGCCCUAAACGAUGUCAACUAGUUGUUGGGGAUUCAUUUCCUUAGUAACGUAGCUAACGCGUGAAGUUGACCGCCUGGGGAGUACGGUCGCAAGAUUAAAACUUAAAUGAAUUGACGGGGUCAUAGCUGUUUCC